RNAcentral lists this ribosomal RNA (1111 nucleotides) under Nocardiopsis prasina. RNAcentral describes it as "bacterial SSU rRNA". It matches the Rfam family "Bacterial small subunit ribosomal RNA", at positions 389 to 1494 of the family's 1533-position model. The record is from RNAcentral. Lineage: Bacteria; Bacillati; Actinomycetota; Actinomycetes; Streptosporangiales; Nocardiopsidaceae.
CAGCGACGCCGCGUGGGGGAUGACGGCCUUCGGGUUGUAAACCUCUUUUACCACCAACGCAGGCUCCACGUUCUCGUGGGGUUGACGGUAGGUGGGGAAUAAGGACCGGCUAACUACGUGCCAGCAGCCGCGGUAAUACGUAGGGUCCGAGCGUUGUCCGGAAUUAUUGGGCGUAAAGAGCUCGUAGGCGGCAUGUCGCGUCUGCUGUGAAAGACCGGGGCUUAACUCCGGUUCUGCAGUGGAUACGGGCAUGCUAGAGGUAGGUAGGGGAAACUGGAAUUCCUGGUGUAGCGGUGAAAUGCGCAGAUAUCAGGAGGAACACCGGUGGCGAAGGCGGGUUUCUGGGCCUUACCUGACGCUGAGGAGCGAAAGCAUGGGGAGCGAACAGGAUUAGAUACCCUGGUAGUCCAUGCCGUAAACGUUGGGCGCUAGGUGUGGGGACUUUCCACGGUUUCCGCGCCGUAGCUAACGCAUUAAGCGCCCCGCCUGGGGAGUACGGCCGCAAGGCUAAAACUCAAAGGAAUUGACGGGGGCCCGCACAAGCGGCGGAGCAUGUUGCUUAAUUCGACGCAACGCGAAGAACCUUACCAAGGUUUGACAUCACCCGUGGACCUGUAGAGAUACAGGGUCAUUUAGUUGGUGGGUGACAGGUGGUGCAUGGCUGUCGUCAGCUCGUGUCGUGAGAUGUUGGGUUAAGUCCCGCAACGAGCGCAACCCUUGUUCCAUGUUGCCAGCACGUAAUGGUGGGGACUCAUGGGAGACUGCCGGGGUCAACUCGGAGGAAGGUGGGGACGACGUCAAGUCAUCAUGCCCCUUAUGUCUUGGGCUGCAAACAUGCUACAAUGGCCGGUACAAUGGGCGUGCGAUACCGUAAGGUGGAGCGAAUCCCUUAAAGCCGGUCUCAGUUCGGAUUGGGGUCUGCAACUCGACCCCAUGAAGGUGGAGUCGCUAGUAAUCGCGGAUCAGCAACGCCGCGGUGAAUACGUUCCCGGGCCUUGUACACACCGCCCGUCACGUCAUGAAAGUCGGCAACACCCGAAACUUGUGGCCUAACCCUUCGGGGAGGGAAUGAGUGAAGGUGGGGCUGGCGAUUGGGACGAAGUCGUAACAA